Molecule: long non-coding RNA, 2394 nt
Organism: Triticum aestivum (bread wheat)
Lineage: Eukaryota; Viridiplantae; Streptophyta; Magnoliopsida; Poales; Poaceae
Exons: 6
Source: RefSeq, a predicted model, not a curated record
CCCAAAUAGCAAAAGCAAAAGGAAGCUUCAGACGUCAUUGUAAGCUUCCUAAUAGUCUUCCAAAACAAUUUCCUAAUCAUCUCCUCAAAUCCCGUGACUAUUCCUUUCCUUCAACAUCUCUCCUUUUUCACCUUCCUGUGUAUAUAAUCUCUAAUGACCAAUUGGGCACUACGCCGUGGGGAGGAGCAGUGGAGCACAUCAUGCAUGGAUGCCCAUGCUGCUCACCAACCGCCGUGGUCGCCGCUGCACGGAAUACCACCAUGAGCACGGCCUCCUCAGCUGCUCCGACUCUCCGUAGUACUGCUCCUCCAGCUACCGGCCCUUCCCCUUCUAUUUUGAAUUUUCUAGAACAAUGGGUAAGCAGCUACCAACUAUGAAUGGAAUAAGUCUAAAAAGAAGCUUGGGUAUGCUGAUAUGUGCCUUCAGGUUAUAAGAUAAGGGAGCAAGUGAAACAACCCAGAAGCUUAUGAUAUUGUUACUGUGGAGAUACCCGGAAGCUUGCAUAUCCAGAAUCGAUCUUCACUUCAGCUACAAGUGAGAGGUAUUGCUGCCGAGCGUGACACCGCGCCGAUCUAUUUGAGCCCAACUGCAUCAAUUUUAGACGGAAGAUAAUGAUGCAAGGAGACCACCUGAGCACCUCCACUCCCUCAACACUGUCCCCCUACUGCCUGAGUUUACUGAAUAUUUUUUCUUGCUUCAACUAUAUCAAGGGAGCAAGUGCAACAACCCAGAAGCUUAUGAUAUUGCUACUGUGGAGAUACCCGGAAGCUUGCAUUGAUCCAGAAUCGAUCUUCACUUCAGCUACAAGUGAGGUAUAUUGAGCCUAUUGACGCAUAGUUACAUAAAGAUAGAAGAAUUGGUUGCACUUUGUCAUUAUUACUUGUUUCUACAAGUAGCUCUCUACACCUGGUUCAUGUAAUGAGUAGCCUGUCUAUCGUUUGUUGGACAUGAUUAUUUACUUUGUUUACUUUGAGAUCUACAUCUUACAGAAAUGUAGGGAAAGGCUGCGUACAAUAGACCCAAAGUGGUCGGACCCUUCCCCAGACCCUGCGCAAGCGGGAGCUACAUGCACUGGGGCUGCCCUUUUACUUUGAGAUCUACAUCUUAAAGAAAAAUCUCUGUCCACCAAUAACAUUGAUUUUGCUAAUUUCUUCCAUUUUCAUUGAUUUUGCUAAUUUCUGUAUGCCAUGUUAAUGAAUACAGAAAUCAUGAUCAUCUGAAACUACCUUUAACUAUGGUGAUGAGCAAAUUCAUCCCCUUCAAUGCAAAAUACAAAAUCCAUGUGAGCCAUCAUUGCUACCUGCCUCCUGAACGAUUGGUCAUCUCCUUUGCUUCUCUAUCAGUUGGUUUACGGUGCUGUUGAGGAGCUUUCAUGAUUUUGUGGUAUUCGUCAGAAGUAGAUCAGAUGCAUUUCACUACGUGGCUAUGUGCACAUAAAUCAGUCAAGGAGCAGGCUUCAGUGAAGUGUGAUCCAGUACAUUUGUGAACAUUGUGCAGUUCUUGCUGAAUUCUGGACUUGACUGAACGGGUUCCCCCUAUUCCAAAUUUCUUUUUAAGUAUUUGGCAGUUAUCUUCAGCGUCCAAAUGGAAGUACUCCCUCCGUCCCAUAAUAUAAUAUCUUAUUGCACUCAUUUUGCUCAAAAAUUGGAUGUAAUACGAUCUUAUAUUAUGGGACGGAGGGAGUACAAUUGAUUCAUAUUAUGUGUAUCUUUGUACUCACCAUUGCUGGAUGAAAAUUUGGACAUACAUAGAUAGCUCUAGAUGUAGCCUAAAUGCUUUUUUACUCCUCAUAUAAUCACUGUUGUGAAUCCUUGUGCCUUUGCAACACCUCAUGUCCUAUAGGAAUGAUGUUCUAACCUAUCUGUGUAAAUUUAAAUUUUAAAUAUUGCAAAUAAAUUAGAAGAUAGACAUGCUUCCAUCCAUGCAGCAAGGCCAACAACAUGCAAGAGCACUGCCUUUUUAUUUAGCAUGCCAGUAAUAUUAUAGCUCUGGGGAUAAUAUUCUUGCACACUUUAGAUGCCAUUUGAUAGAUUGGGAGGACAGGUAAAUUUACAUAUGACAGCAGAGUUCUCUUCACCAAGUAUAUGUCAAUACAUGUCUCAAUGGCAUGGCUUUGGGAUCGAGAUCUACCUUGCUAACGUUACAGAUCAAUUGUCAAUAGCUUGUUGAAAAUCUCCCCUUGUUUGUAAUGUAAGGAUCUUAUGUAAUCUUAAGGUUUGCAGCUAAUAGAGAAACCCAAUCCAAGUAAAAGUUUUCAACCCAAUCCAAGUAAAAGUUUUCAGUAUUGCUUAAUUGUGUGAGUGAUUAACACUUUUUGGUUGUGCUGAAUUUCACUCCUACAUAGUUUUAUUGACAAUUUUUAUAUUCCUUUCAUUCAAAUGAGGCACAAGAUAG